CCUACGGGAGGCAGCAGUGAGGAAUAUUGGUCAAUGGACGGAAGUCUGAACCAGCCAAGUCGCGUGCAGGAAGACGGCCCUAUGAGUUGUAAACUGCUUUUGUACAAGGGUAAACCUGAAUACGUGUAUUCAGCUGAAAGUACCGUACGAAUAAGGAUCGGCUAACUCCGUGCCAGCAGCCGCGGUAAUACGGAGGAUCCAGGCGUUAUCCGGAUUUAUUGGGUUUAAAGGGUGCGUAGGCGGAUUGAUAAGUUAGAGGUGAAAUGUGCGAGCUUAACUCGGGAACUGCCGCUAAUACUGGUGAUCUAGAGAGUAGAUGCGGUAGGCGGAAUGUGUGGUGUAGCGGUGAAAUGCUUAGAGAUCAUACAGAACACCGAUUGCGAAGGCAGCUUACCAAUGUAUAUCUGACGUUGAGGCACGAAAGCGUGGGGAGCGAACAGGAUUAGAUACCCCUGUAGUC
This 460-nucleotide ribosomal RNA is filed under the name uncultured bacterium. Its description in RNAcentral is "partial 16S ribosomal RNA". It matches the Rfam family "Bacterial small subunit ribosomal RNA", at positions 338 to 795 of the family's 1533-position model. The record is from RNAcentral.